This 294-nucleotide ribosomal RNA is filed under the name uncultured bacterium. RNAcentral's name for it is "partial 16S ribosomal RNA". It matches the Rfam family "Bacterial small subunit ribosomal RNA", at positions 32 to 316 of the family's 1533-position model. The record is from RNAcentral.
AAUCAACGCUGGCGGCGUGCUUCAGACAUGCAAGUCGAACGAUUAAAGCUCUCUUCGGAGAGUGCAUAGAGUGGCGCACGGGUGAGUAACACGUAAGUAAUCUACCUUCGAGUGGGGAAUAACGUCCGGAAACGGACGCUAAUACCGCAUAAUGCAGCGGCAUCGCAAGAUGACAGUUGUUAAAGGAGCAAUCCGCUUGAAGAGGAGCUUGCGGCAGAUUAGCUUGUUGGUAAGGUAACGGCUUACCAAGGCUACGAUCUGUAUCCGGUCUAAGAGGACGGUCGGACACACUGA